Long non-coding RNA from Pseudophryne corroboree (corroboree frog), 3771 nucleotides. RefSeq lists it as uncharacterized. The transcript is spliced from 3 exons. Lineage: Eukaryota; Metazoa; Chordata; Amphibia; Anura; Myobatrachidae. The record is from RefSeq and is a predicted model, not a curated record.
GCAGGAACUCACCGGAAGCACGGCCCCACGCCAGCUCCUGCUGCACAGUGCUACGGCCACAUUGGUGUUGGGACACAUAAAGGCAGCAGCAGCAUUACAUCAAUGCUGCUAGGUGCAGACAUGUACAGAUGUGUUCCGGCAUGCCGUGGCAUUCGCAUGAGUAUGCAUACACACGCUCCCGUAGCUAAAUGCACACAGUUGGUAAGUGGACCAUGAUGCGGGAAGAGGGUGCCCCAGCUGCCAGAGACUUGGAGGGGGACUCAGCAAGCUUGAAUCCACUGGUAUGAAGGGAUCUCUGCUUAAGAUCUUCUGCAAAAGCUUUCAGUCAGCUUUGUCUUGAGAAACAAGUUUAGUAACUUUAAUUUGGGGCUCCUUAAUAAUGGUUCACCAUAAUAUGAAGAAAAAAAAAAAAGAUUAUGAAUUUCAAGAGAUUGCAUUGUCAAGUGCAUUAUCUCAUCCAUUUGAAAGUUUAUUGACCCCCAAAAAGGUAAUUAGUUACAAGCAGAGAUACUGAAGAAAAACUUUCACAAAGAUCAUAUACAGAAGCCUCAGUAUUGACCCCUCCUCUGGAAUGUACCCAUUGAUAGACUAUUGGUGGUCUUUCCGAGUUGUUCGCUAGCUGUUUUCGUUCGCAGCGCAGCAAUUAGGCAAAAAAGCGGCACUUCUGCGCAUGCGUAUGCGGCGCAAUGCGCAUGCGCAACGUACUUUCACAACAGCCGAUGUUUUUUUACACAAGGUCUAGCAAAGCUUUUCAGUCGCACUGCUGGCCGCAGAGUGAUUGUCAGGAUGGGGGCGUUUCUGGGUGUCAACUGACCAUUUUCAGGGAGUGUUUGAAAAAAUGCAGGCGUGCCUGGAAAAACGCAGGCGUGGCUGGCCGAAUGCAAGGCGUGUUUGUGACGUCAAACCAGGAACUGAAUGGUCUGAAGUGAUCGCAAGCACUGAGUAGGUCUGAAGCUACUCUGAAACUGCUCAAAAAUAUUUUGCAGCUUAUCUGCGAUCCUUUCGUUCGCACUUCAGCUAAGCUAAGAUACACUCCCAGAGGGCGGCAGCUUAGCGUUUGCACGGCUGCUAAAAACAGCUAGCGAGCGAACAACUCGGAAUGAGGGCCAUUAUGUCAAAGUUGCUGCUGGGUUCCUUUCCACUAUUAAUGGUAAUUCCAGAAAGCUUAUAAGAGAUCCAAGCUGUUAUUUCCCCCAGCAUCUGCAUCUGUUAAUCAGAGUAUUAUUAUUAUUAUUAUUAUUAACAACAUUUAAUUAUAUGGCACCAGGGAAAGGCACUUUAAUUGUAAAGCUGUAUGUUAGGACUGAAAGGGGUUACUUCUCCCACUGUACUGGUGGAAGAAUCAAAGACUACAGCAAUUCUGUUCUCCUGACCAGGGCCGGCCCAAGCUAAAUUUUUUCGGUAAGCGAAUUUAGAAUUUAGCGCCCCUUGAUGGGAUAAUAAUAAUAAUAAUAAUAAUUUUAUUUAUAUAGCGCUCUUUCUCCAACAGGACUCAAGGCGCUAAUAUUAAAAUAUUAAAAGAGGUGUGGUCUCACAAGGAAGGGGCGUGGCCACACAAUAGAACCUGCAUGACUGGGUGGCAGAGGUGAUGGAGGUAGUGGGUGACUGAGGAGGCUGGGGUGACAGGGAGAUAGUGGGUCACAGGGAAGGCUGGGGUGACAGGGAGCAGUGAUCACGCUGAGCCCAAAAAAAAGUGGGUCCCAGGGAACCCUCACUUUUUAAAAUUGGGGUCCUACCUGUCCUUUUCUGGGUCCCAUCGGAAUGAAGAUUCUUAUUAAUCUUAUUAAUUAUUAAAAUAUAAAAAUAGAAACUUGAUUUGGACACUACAAAAGUGUUGCAAGGGGAGGAGGGUUGUGACAAUGCUGCCGGGCUGUGUAGCAUGCAGGACACCCUGCACCAGAGCUGUAACUAGACAUUUUAGUGCCCUUUAUCAGAAAGUGAAUUGGUGCUCCACCUCCCAGACAGCAAAGAAUAGACAGUGCGCGCCGAAGGCGUGCUUCAAAAAUCAGGGGUGUGGCUUCAUGGGAAAGGGGCGUGGCCACAUAAUACUGCCAAUUCACAUUACACCACACAGUAGUGCCGCUUAAACACAUUGCACCAAAUAGAACCUCCUAUACACACUGCGCCAGGUAGAACCUCCUAUACACACUGCGCCAGAUAGAGCACGUUAUACGUAUUGCGCCAGAUAUGGCACGUUAUACACAUUGCGCCAGGUAGAGCACGUUAUACACAAUGCACCAGGUAGAGCACAUUAUACACACUGCACCAGGUAGAGCACGUUAUACACAAUGCGCCAGGUAGAGCACGUUAUACACAAUGCGCCAGGUAGAGCACGUUAUACACAAUGCACCAGGUAGAGCACGUUAUACACAUUGCGCCAGGUAGAGCACAUUAUACACAAUGCGCCAGGUGCAGCACGUUAUACACAAUGCGCCAGGUAGAGCACGUUAUACACAAUGCGCCAGGUAGAGCACGUUAUACACAAUGCACCAGGUAGAGCACGUUAUACACAGUGUAGCCUCAGCCCCUCAGUCGUCCACCGCAAACAGCAAUGCUGGAACCCCCUACAGCACGCCCAUCCACCACCCCACACAGCCUGCUGCAGUGCGGGUACACAUGCUGCUGGGGUCACAGGGCAGAUGCACUCACCGUUGCGCAGGUCAGUCUCUUGGUGUUUGCGGCGGCGCCCAGAGUCAGCAUGCAGGCAGGCUUUUCCUCUGGCUCUGGCUCAAGCCACAGGCAGCGCACCCCACGCCCCAUAGGAAGACAGCUCAGGAGGGAGGGGGCACAGCACAGGUGCAGCACGUUAUACACAAUGCGCCAGGUGCAUCACGUUAUACACAAUGCGCCAGGUAGAGCACGUUAUACACAAUGCGCCAGGUAUUUAUUGAGACACAAGAGGGGGAGUUUAAAGCUUGCUCUCUUGCUUUCUCUCUCUCUCUUUCUAACAAUUAUCUAUGUAUUUGAAGUCUGUAGAAAAGACUGGUCAGGUACUGUAUGGUAGGAAAUUUCAUAAGUUGGUAGAGGGCACAAGAGAAUUCUCUAGGUGAGAGUAAGAGGGGGAUACCAUAGGUGAAAUAAGGUGCAGCAGGUUAGAGGUAGAACUAAGAAAGUGAAAGUGGAAAUAUCGUGAGAUGAGAUGUGUGUAGUAGCAGCUCAGGAACAUGCAGCCUCAGACAGACAGAGCCGCGUGUUUGGGCGGCCACCUUAGUAUGGCCGCAGUUACGGCCCGCAAGAGGAGAGAGACACUGACAGCACGGGCGGGAGCGCGGGCGGACGGGAGCGCGGGCGGGCGGACUGGGCAGGAGUCAGACAGCAGCCUAGAAGUGCGGCUUGACGGAGCGGCUGUGGUGCAGGCUGCCGGCGCCUUCCUCACUGUGGCGCCUUACUCGUACGCGUACCCCGCGUAACGGGCGGGCCGGUCCUGCUCCUGACUAUUUACUUUUGUUGUCAAAGAAAUAAAACUAUUUGCAAUUUUGGUUAUUAUUUUUCUGCUUAAUGUUUUGGAAUCAGCUAAUGUCUGCAUUUUCUUCAUAAUAAGGUGAUGCUGGGUGGAGUUUUUCGUCAGUUUUUAUAUAAAAAGAAUUGUUAGAGUAAAGACAAAUGAUGCAAGUAAGCAGCAGGUUGAAUUAAAGUGUGAAAUACAGUAUGUUUUUUUUUUUAAAUCAAUCUCUGACAUGCAUGUGGUACAGUAUGCCCCAGGGUGGACACCUGGAAACAUUUUGUUAUAUCUGGCUGGUAAUGCAAAAGAGUGAUAAUAAACAUACUAUA